UACGAAGGGGGCUAGCGUUGUUCGGAAUUAUUGGGCGUAAAGCGCACGUAGGCGGCUUUUUAAGUUGGGGGUGAAAUCCCGGGGCUCAACCUCGGAACUGCCUCUGAUACUGGCAAUCUUGAGAUCGGGAGAGGAGUGUGGAACUCCGAGUGUAGAGGUGAAAUUCGUAGAUAUUCGGAAGAACACCAGAGGCGAAGGCGGCACUCUGGCCCGAUACUGACGCUGAGGUGCGAAAGCGUGGGGAGCAAACAGG
RNAcentral lists this unclassified non-coding RNA (253 nucleotides) under uncultured Alphaproteobacteria bacterium. RNAcentral's name for it is "contains 16S-23S intergenic spacer region". It matches the Rfam family "Bacterial small subunit ribosomal RNA", at positions 524 to 776 of the family's 1533-position model. The record is from RNAcentral. Lineage: Bacteria; Pseudomonadati; Pseudomonadota; Alphaproteobacteria.